CCUGUGCCCGCUCCCUGCGUCCUCUCCCUGUGCCCGCUCCCUGUGUCCUCUCCCUCUUCCCGCACCCUGUGCCCGCUCCCUGUGCCCUCUCCCUCUGCCUGCUCCCUGUGCCCUCUUCCUGUGCCCGCUCCCUGUGCCCUCUCCCUCUGCUCGCACCCUCUGCCCGCUCCCUGUGCCCGCUCCCUGUGCCCUCUCCCUCUGCCUGCUCCCUGUGCCCGCUCCCUCUGCCCGCUCCCUCUGCCUGCUCCCUGUGCCCUCUUCCUGUGCCCGCUCCCUGUGCCCUCUCCCUCUGCUCGCUCCCUCUGCCCGCUCCCUGUGCCCUCUUCCUGUGCCCGCAUCCUCUGCCCGCUCCCUGUGUCCUCUCCCUGUGCCCGCUCCCUGUGUCCUCUCCCUCUUCCCGCUCCCUCUGCCUGCUCCCUGUGCCCUCUCCCUCUGCCUGCUCCCUGUGCCCGCUCCCUCUGCCCGGUCCCUCUGCCUGCUCCCUGUGCCCGCUCCCUGUGCCCUCUCCCUCUGCUCGCUCCCUCUGCCUGCUCCCUGUGCCCUCUUCCUGUGCCCGCAUCCUCUGCCCGCUCCCUGUGCCCGCUGGAUUUUGGCUGCUGCUCGGCAGGUGGGGAGCGCUGGUUCCUGCCGCUGCUGUGCGGGGGUGGCCCCUGGGGCUCAGCCACUGGACUGCGUCCUAAUCGAGACCAAUCUGGGACGUUGAAAGUCGUGAUUGAGGUUUUUUUGGUAAACUUGGACCCCGGAAAGGAUGGGAGCAGAGACAGUGACCUUUGCCAAGGGCUCUGGUGAACAAUGGACUGUCGGAUCAAUACGUGUACGAGUGUAACAUGUCAAGAUGCCCUGCACUCUCCUCAGCUGGGCAGGGUGGCUUUGCUGCUGCUAAGGACAUUAACUGCAGCCUUCCAAAAGGCUUUUUGUGAGGUGUGCAGCCCUAGAGAAAGGCUGGACUUGGUAGGAGAGAUGGGUUCCAUAGAUCAUGGAGCAUAUUUCAUCAGGAGAAUAAUUCAUCUUUCUUAUUUUCCUGAGGAAUCCUUUGCCCACACUGCACACGUUUGUAAUGAAUAGAAGCCUUUCAAAUGAUUCAGUGACAUGCUGUAAAAUAUCAUACUUGGUUAAGCAUUUUCUCUAUAUUUUUUCUGACCUAGACUCAUAUUCAUGUCAACUCUCCAUGAUGCAGUGCAGUAAUAUUAAAAUUUUUGGUAGCCAA
This is a long non-coding RNA of Haemorhous mexicanus (house finch), 1207 nucleotides long. RefSeq lists it as uncharacterized. The transcript has 3 exons. Lineage: Eukaryota; Metazoa; Chordata; Aves; Passeriformes; Fringillidae. The record is from RefSeq and is a predicted model, not a curated record.